UCUGAAGUAUUUUUAUAUCAAUAGGAAAUCUUUCUUCAAAUUUGAUUCUGUAUUGGAACUCUUCUAUGAAAAUGGGAAGAAAAGCUGCUGCUUGCGCUGAUCUCCCCUCCCACCCCGGGGACAAACCUUUUUUGGCGAGACUGCAGAUUUUCUUCGGCUGGUGA
Molecule: long non-coding RNA, 164 nt
Organism: Sarcophilus harrisii (Tasmanian devil)
Lineage: Eukaryota; Metazoa; Chordata; Mammalia; Dasyuromorphia; Dasyuridae
Exons: 2
Source: RefSeq, a predicted model, not a curated record